UCCUACGGGGGGCAGCAGUGAGGAAUAUUGGUCAAUGGUCGGGAGACUGAACCAGCCAAGCCGCGUGAGGGAUGAAGGUACAGAGUAUCGUAAACCUCUUUUGUCAGGGAACAAAGGCGGGGACGUGUCCCCGGAUGAGUGUACCUGAGGAAAAAGCAUCGGCUAACUCCGUGCCAGCAGCCGCGGUAAUACGGAGGAUGCGAGCGUUAUCCGGAUUUAUUGGGUUUAAAGGGUGCGCAGGCGGUCUGUUAAGUCAGCGGUCAAAGCCCGGGGCUCAACCCCGGCCCGCCGUUGAAACUGGCAGG
Molecule: ribosomal RNA, 305 nt
Filed under: uncultured bacterium
Lineage: Bacteria
Description: bacterial SSU rRNA
Rfam family: Bacterial small subunit ribosomal RNA
Source: RNAcentral